This 368-nucleotide ribosomal RNA is filed under the name uncultured organism. RNAcentral's name for it is "bacterial SSU rRNA". It matches the Rfam family "Bacterial small subunit ribosomal RNA", at positions 526 to 896 of the family's 1533-position model. The record is from RNAcentral.
CGGAGGGUGCAAGCGUUAUCCGGAUUUACUGGGUUUAAAGGGUGUGUAGGCGGGCUAUUAAGUCAGUGGUGAAAUCUCCGAGCUCAACUUGGAAACUGCCAUUGAUACUAUUAGUCUUGAAUUUUGUUGAGGUAGGCGGAAUAAGUCAUGUAGCGGUGAAAUGCUUAGAUAUGACUUAGAACACCAAUUGCGAAGGCAGCUUGCUAAACAAACAUUGACGCUGAGGCACGAAAGCGUGGGGAUCAAACAGGAUUAGAUACCCUGGUAGUCCACGCCCUAAACGAUGAUUACUCGACAUACGCGAUACACAGUGUGUGUCUGAGCGAAAGCAUUAAGUAAUCCACCUGGGAAGUACGACCGCAAGGUUG